RNAcentral lists this transfer RNA (74 nucleotides) under Candidatus Aenigmatarchaeota archaeon. RNAcentral describes it as "tRNA-Pro". It matches the Rfam family "tRNA". Rfam says of the family: Transfer RNA (tRNA) molecules are approximately 80 nucleotides in length. Their secondary structure includes four short double-helical elements and three loops (D, anti-codon, and T loops). Lineage: Archaea; Nanobdellati; Candidatus Aenigmatarchaeota. The record is from RNAcentral.
GGGGUAGUAGUAUAACUUGGCUAGUAUUCCAGCUUCGGGAGCUGGCGAUCUGGGUUCAAAUCCCAGCUACCCCA